UUAAGCUUGUGUCCUUGCUGCUUCUUAUUCUGAUCACAAAACUGAUCCGCUUUUGGCUGUUGCUCGCAAGAAUGGUUUGGUUGAGUGUCUAAAUCCUAUUAAUGGAGAGGCUUUGGGCAUCACUAAGAUCGAUCAACCCUUAUCACUGGAUGGCUCUCUUAAUGAUGAUCAUGUUGUUGGAUUGCAUCUCUUCAAAACUAAAGGAAUCGAUGUUCCAUCAAGGUCAGUUUCAUUACUUACCUGUCUGGAAAAGGGUAAUGCUUGCUUGAGGUCCAUUCCCGUCGGUGAUGCGCCAGAAAACUCAACUACUGCUUCUCAUAUUACAUGGAAUGUAUGCUCUUCUGGUAAAAUAAUAUGUUCU
This is a non-coding RNA of Musa acuminata subsp. malaccensis (wild Malaysian banana), 361 nucleotides long. The record is from RefSeq and is a predicted model, not a curated record. Lineage: Eukaryota; Viridiplantae; Streptophyta; Magnoliopsida; Zingiberales; Musaceae.